AUUGAACGCUGGCGGCAGGCCUAACACAUGCAAGUCGAGCGGCAGCGGGAAAGUAGCUUGCUACUUUUGCCGGCGAGCGGCGGACGGGUGAGUAAUGCCUGGGAAAUUGCCCAGUCGAGGGGGAUAACAGUUGGAAACGACUGCUAAUACCGCAUACGCCCUACGGGGGAAAGCAGGGGACCUUCGGGCCUUGCGCGAUUGGAUAUGCCCAGGUGGGAUUAGCUUGUUGGUGAGGUAAUGGCUCACCAAGGCGACGAUCCCUAGCUGGUCUGAGAGGAUGAUCAGCCACACUGGAACUGAGACACGGUCCAGACUCCUACGGGAGGCAGCAGUGGGGAAUAUUGCACAAUGGGGGAAACCCUGAUGCAGCCAUGCCGCGUGUGUGAAGAAGGCCUUCGGGUUGUAAAGCACUUUCUAGCGAGGAGGAAAGGUUGAUACCUAAUACGUAUCAGCUGUGACGUUACUCGCAGAAGAAGCACCGGCUAA
This 486-nucleotide ribosomal RNA is filed under the name uncultured bacterium. RNAcentral describes it as "bacterial SSU rRNA". It matches the Rfam family "Bacterial small subunit ribosomal RNA", at positions 30 to 500 of the family's 1533-position model. The record is from RNAcentral.